AAGUCGUAACAAGGUUUCCGUAGGUGAACCUGCGGAAGGAUCAUUAAUACGUUUUAAACAAACGUUUUAAACUCCAAAAUUUUAAUAGUGGAAAUCUAACUUCCGGAUGCAUUUGUAGGAGUGGAGAUCAGACCUCAAAAAGUCUGGUUCUCCUCUCUUUGAAAGGUGACUUCAUGCACUUUAUUGUGUGUGACACUUCAGAGUAGAGCAGUGAGGUGAAAACUUCGGUUUUGGUUUCUGAAAUACAUCUGUAUCCGGUUAUUCUCUGUUCUACAACCCUUUUAUAAAACUAUAAACCCCAUGUACAACAACUUGAACUAAACAAAUUUUGUUUUCUCUUUUUGAGGAAAUGAAGUAAAAUCUGAACUUAAGAACAACUCUUAACAACGGAUAUCUUGGUUCUC
Molecule: unclassified non-coding RNA, 404 nt
Filed under: fungal sp.
Lineage: Eukaryota; Fungi
Description: partial internal transcribed spacer region
Rfam family: Eukaryotic small subunit ribosomal RNA (bases 1-46)
Source: RNAcentral